GACGAACGCUGGCGGCGUGCUUAACAUAUGCAAGUCGAACGGAAAGGCCCUGCUUUUGUGGGGUGCUCGAGUGGCGAACGGGUGAGUAACACGUGAGUAACCUACCCUUGACUUUGGGAUAACUUCAGGAAACUGGGGCUAAUACCGGAUAGGAGCUCCUGCUGCAUGGUGGGGGUUGGAAAGUUUCGGCGGUUGGGGAUGGACUCGCGGCUUAUCAGCUUGUUGGUGGGGUAGUGGCUUACCAAGGCUUUGACGGGUAGCCGGCCUGAGAGGGUGACCGGCCACAUUGGGACUGAGAUACGGCCCAGACUCCUACGGGGGGCAGCAGUGGGGAAUAUUGCACAAUGGGCGGAAGCCUGAUGCAGCAACGCCGCGUGCGGGAUGACGGCCUUCGGGUUGUAAACCGCUUUCGCCUGUGACGAAGCGUGAGUGACGGUAAUGGGUAAAGAAGCACCGGCUAACUACGUG
This 468-nucleotide ribosomal RNA is filed under the name uncultured bacterium. RNAcentral describes it as "partial 16S ribosomal RNA". It matches the Rfam family "Bacterial small subunit ribosomal RNA", at positions 28 to 507 of the family's 1533-position model. The record is from RNAcentral.